GAGUUUGAUCGUGGCUCAGAUUGAACGCUGGCGGCAGGCCUAACACAUGCAAGUCGAGCGGAUGACGGGAGCUUGCUCCUUGAUCCAGCGGCGGACGGGUGAGUAAUGCCUAGGAAUCUGCCUGGUAGUGGGGGACAACGUUUCGAAAGGAACGCUAAUACCGCAUACGUCCUACGGGAGAAAGCAGGGGACCUUCGGGCCUUGCGCUAUCAGAUGAGCCUAGGUCGGAUUAGCUAGUUGGUGGGGUAAUGGCUCACCAAGGCGACGAUCCGUAACUGGUCUGAGAGGAUGAUCAGUCACACUGGAACUGAGACACGGUCCAGACUCCUACGGGAGGCAGCAGUGGGGGAUAUUGGACAAUGGGCGAAAGCCUGAUCCAGCCAUGCCGCGUGUGUGAAGAAGGUCUUCGGAUUGUAAAGCACUUUAAGUUGGGAGGAAGGGCAGUAAGUUAAUACCUUGCUGUUUUGACGUUACCGACAGAAUAAGCACCGGCUAACUCUGUGCCAGCAGCCG
RNAcentral lists this ribosomal RNA (513 nucleotides) under bacterium enrichment culture clone ALO1_GLFRUDD03F9BP8. RNAcentral describes it as "bacterial SSU rRNA". It matches the Rfam family "Bacterial small subunit ribosomal RNA", at positions 9 to 517 of the family's 1533-position model. The record is from RNAcentral.